Manis pentadactyla (Chinese pangolin) is the source of this 2741-nucleotide long non-coding RNA. RefSeq lists it as uncharacterized. The record is from RefSeq and is a predicted model, not a curated record. NCBI's taxonomy places the organism in Eukaryota, Metazoa, Chordata, Mammalia, Pholidota, Manidae. The transcript is spliced from 4 exons.
CCCUCAAACCAAAACAUGGGUGGGCUCGGGUCUGUCAUUACAAAGCAGCUGAUGGAAGGAGACUACAUUGACAGGGAACUGGUCAGCGGUUGCCUCAUAUCAACCGUGGGAAACAGUUCAAGUUUUGCUUAGGAUUUCCUGAGGCAUAAGCGAGAAAUGACCUAUGUCAAGUCAGUCUUGCCAAAUGUGUAUGACGAAACUGGUCUUGUCUGCUCAGGGAAUUUUCAAGUUUGGUCUUCAUUUGUUUCUGAUGCUAACAAUUGCCUAGAUAAAGCUUGUGAUUCUUCAGAAUAAAGUCAUUGAACAGCAAAAACUGGGAGACUAGAAAACGCCAGAACCAAUUCCCUUCAUAAAUUAAAGAAAACCGUAUGUAGUCCAGAAGUUCCCAAAUGUUCAGCUUUAAGAUGCCUGGUGACACCAAUGACAACAUCAACUCCGCCAUCAACUAGCGACCACCGGAGAUAUCAGCUUGAAUAUACUCAGACUCCAUUGUCUGAGUAGUUGAGGGAAAAUCAUUUGUCUUAAACCGUCUACACGAGUCCCUGGCUGGUCUGCUUCCCACCGGGAGAGGCGACGCUCCGCUCAGCAUCCCCCCGCCACAGGAAUCCACCGAGGAGCCGGCCACAGCGUCAGCACCGACUAACGUGGCAUGGGAGUCCUGGUGCUGUUUAACAGGAACUGUUCCCAGUGGGUGCUCCGGCCUCUCAGCCGCCUGCUCUCCCUGUGAGCUGCACAACUCUGCCCCCUGGUAGGCUCUCAGAGCAUACCAGGCCCUGUCAUGAUUCUUCAUGUGUCUAUGUUUUCACUUGUUACAUGGAAAGAUAUUCAUGAUUUCAUACUUUAUUGAUGAGACUCCAAAGGGCACGGCCCCCCUGGGGAUGUGGGGGGAAUUUCACAAUAUUUCCAAAUUUACAAGGUACUUUCACUUUAAUCCAGCCAUCCUAUGGCUAGUAAUUUAUACCAUGCCCACGUACAAAAUAACAUACAUAGAAGAUCACUCAUUACUGCAUGGUUUGUGAUAAUAAAAGAACGGAAGCAAGCUACAUGUUCCCCAUUAGAGGAUGGUUUAAACCAGGAGUUCUUAGCUAGGGUGAUUUAUUUUUGGCUGUCACACUGGGGAGGGUGCCCCUGGCAUCCAGCAGGUAAAGGCUAGGAAAGCCGCUAAACAUUACACACUGCUUAGGACAACCUCCAUAACAAAAAUUAUCUGCUCAAAAUUUCAAUAGUGCAAGGAUGAAAAAUUUGGGUUAAACAAUCUUUAGCAUAAUGAAUACUAUGCAGUCAUUUUUUAAAAAUAGGACAAGAACGUUCUCUAUGUGCAGAUAUAAAAAGAUUUUUAGAAUACAUUAAGUAGAAAAAGCAAGGUCAGAAUAAUCUGUAUGUUAACUUUUUGUAUGAGAAGGAAAAUAAUGAUAUACAUAUAUGUGUAUAUUUGCUUGUGUCUGCAUAAUGAAAACUAAAAGGAUGCAUAGAAUUAAUAAAAAUGAUUACCAACCAGGAUUGAUUGCCUUGGAAGGGGAGAUGGGCAGAGACAUGAGUGGGAGCUACACGUCUCAAAAUAAAUCUCAAUAUAUUGUUUUAAUUUGGAGCCAUGUGUCUCUAUUACCGAUUCAAAACAAUACAUAAAGACCUGGGACACAAAGAUAAAAAAAGACAUUUAUUGAGAAUAAAGGGGUUAUAUCCUAUGUAUCUUUGUGUCCAAACUAUCUGACCUUAUGUCUUCUCUAAAAAGGACACUUAAAGAAUUUAAUUCCAUUCAAACCAAAAGCUUUCACACUAUAAAGUACCUACAUUAAUACAUUAAUAAGUACUGGGCUAGUUACAAAAUUAAAUGGAGAGCAUAACUUUAUAGCCUUUGACCUCAUGGAGGUUACAGUCAAAUAUUGAAACAGACACAUAAAACAGUGAAAGAACAAUCCAAUUCUUUGGGUGACUUAAUGAAAGAAAUGAAUUAUUCACUAUGAUUUUCAGAAAAAAAAAUGAGUUAAGCUGUGAGCCAUUUAUCAACUGCUUCUUUCAUUGAACAUGAAAAUUUGUCGUCUGUUAAUUUACAGACAUCUGACUCUGAUUCAUAGUUUUACUAUUUGAGCUAGAGGAAUGAAGCAUAGAAUUAAAACAAUGACAUCAUAAUACACUACAAACCUAAACCAGACAGGGAUGCCCUGGAAAUUUAACAUCAUCCCAUCUGGGAAAAUGUCAUUAAGUACUGAGGGAUUGCUGCCCCCCAGAGGUUAAUCAAAAACACUCUAAAAUAAAAAAGAAUGACUCACUGAAUUUCAAGAGCCAAACAAUUGAUAAAAGUAGAUAUUGGAUGGAGCCUUGUUUUAUGAGGGAAUGAGACCCACACCCACUAAUUCUGGAGUUAAAAGAAAGAGAAGGUUGUCAGGAGCUCCUAAGAGUGGAGAAGGGUUUGAGCAAAAGAAAAGUAACGGAAAGUUCUUGCUCAUUGCAUCCAGUGAACAUUGGUGCAACUUUUGAGGGGAAACUUGUUAGCUUGUAAGCUUUUACUUUUUUAUUUCUUCCUCUCUGUAUUUCUCCAUAGAUGCUAGUGGGUAACAACAAUUAAACAUACCUACAGGGCUCUGUGCAUGUUUCAAUUGUUUAGGAAAAGCUGUGGGGUUUUGUUCUACUCAACAGUAGGCCAAAGGAGGGAAGCCCCCAUCAGAAUCAACUGUUGAAUGCAGUGGAAAUGAAAGCUUGCAAACUAAAACUCCCACCACAAAGCUCUUCCUAAAGUAAGG